Molecule: ribosomal RNA, 1335 nt
Filed under: Triticum aestivum (bread wheat)
Lineage: Eukaryota; Viridiplantae; Streptophyta; Magnoliopsida; Poales; Poaceae
Description: partial small subunit ribosomal RNA
Source: RNAcentral
AUGAAGAAGGCUGACAAGUUCGAGUGGACUCCAGAAGCUGAUGCAGCGUUUGCCGAGCUAAAAGCUCUGCUCUCCACCCAGCCGGUGCUUGCUGCUCCAAUCAGCAAAGAGCCUCUGUUGCUCUACAUCGCAGCCACAGGACAAGUUGUCAGUACUGUGCUAACGGUCGAGCGGGAAGAAGAAGGAAAAGCUCUCAAAGUUCAGCGCCCAGUGUAUUAUUUGUCUGAAGUCUUGACUCCAUCCAAGCAGAGAUAUCCUCAUUAUCAGAAGCUUGUGUAUGGAAUAUACAUGACCACAAAGAAGGUUGCUCAUUAUUUCUCUGACCAUUCAAUCACAGUCGUCAGCGACGCUCCACUAUCAGAGAUUUUGCACAACAGAGAUGCAACUGGUCGAGUGGCCAAGUGGGCGAUUGAACUUCUUCCCCUUGAUAUCAAGUUUGAGGCAAAGAAAGCCAUUAAGUCCCAGGCAAUAGCAGAUUUCCUCGCCGAGUGGAUCGAACAGCAGCAGCCGACUGAAGUUCACUCGGAGCAUUGGACCAUGUUUUUCGAUGGUUCUAAGAUGUUGAAUGGUUCCGGUGCUGGGGUUGUCCUGGUUUCCCCCAGAGGAGAUAAGCUCAGAUAUGUGCUCCAGAUUCACUUUGAUUCCUCCAACAAUGAGGCAGAAUAUGAGGCCCUCCUAUAUGGGUUGCGCAUGGCCAUUUCACUCGGCGUCCGUCGCCUAAUGGUCUAUGGCGACUCGGAUUUAGUGGUCAAUCAGGUGAUGAAAGAGUGGGACGUGAGAAGCCCAGCCAUGACUGGAUACUGCAGUGCAGUGAGAAAGCUGGAGAAAAAGUUCGAGGGGUUGGAGCUCCAUCAUAUACCCCGACUGAAAAAUCAAGCAGCUGAUGAUCUAGCAAAGAUAGGUUCCAAGAGAGAAGCCAUUCCGAGUGGUGUGUUCUUGGAGCAUAUACAUACUCCGUCAGUCAAAGAAGAUCCUUUCACCGAAGAAACUCCGCAGCCCAAGAGCGCCACAGAUCCGACUGAAGUUGAAGUCCCAGCGGUGGUCGACUUGAUCAUGGAGGAAGAAAGGGAGAUGGCUCUGAUCCGGUCGACCAUCUACCAACAAGAUCUGCGCCGUUUCCACGCCCGAAAUGUGAGAGGUCGAGCCUUCCAGGAAGGGGAUUUGGUUCUCCGAGUGGAUCAGCACAAACCACACAAGCUUGCUCCUUCUUGGGAAGGCCCCUUCAUCGUCACCAAGGUUCUCCACAACGGGGCGUACCGUCUUUACAACGUCGAGCAUAAUAUCGACGAGCCCCGAGCUUGGAACGCGGAGCUACUCCGCCCGUUUUACACUUAA